GUUGUUCGGAAUUACUGGGCGUAAAGCGCGUGUAGGCGGCUCGGCAAGUCGGGUGUGAAAGCCCUGGGCUUAACCUAGGAAGUGCACUCGAAACUGCCAAGCUUGAGUUCUGGAGAGGAAGGCGGAAUUCUCGGUGUAGAGGUGAAAUUCGUAGAUAUCGAGAGGAACACCGGUGGCGAAGGCGGACUUCUGGACAGCAACUGACGCUGAGACGCGACAGCGUGGGGAGCAAACAGG
RNAcentral lists this ribosomal RNA (237 nucleotides) under uncultured bacterium. Its description in RNAcentral is "partial 16S ribosomal RNA". It matches the Rfam family "Bacterial small subunit ribosomal RNA", at positions 540 to 776 of the family's 1533-position model. The record is from RNAcentral.